Molecule: ribosomal RNA, 403 nt
Filed under: uncultured bacterium
Lineage: Bacteria
Description: bacterial SSU rRNA
Rfam family: Bacterial small subunit ribosomal RNA
Source: RNAcentral
UGGGGAAUAUUGGGCAAUGGGCGCAAGCCUGACCCAGCAAUGCCGCGUGGGUGAAGAAGGUCUUCGGAUUGUAAAGCCCUUUCGGCGGGGACGAUGGUGACGGUACCCGCAGAAGAAGCCCCGGCCAACUUCGUGCCAGCAGCCGCGGUAAUACGAAGGGGGCUAGCGUUGCUCGGAAUCACUGGGCGUAAAGGGCGCGUAGGCGGCGGCUCUAGUCGGGCGUGAAAUCCCCGGGCUCAACCCGGGGGCUGCGCCCGAUACGGUGCCGCUCGAGGACGGGAGAGGCUCGCGGAAUUCCCAGUGUAGAGGUGAAAUUCGUAGAUAUUGGGAAGAACACCGGUGGCGAAGGCGGCGAGCUGGCCCGUUUCUGACGCUGAGGCGCGACAGCGUGGGGAGCAAACAG